GAUGAACGCUGGCGGCGUGCCUAAUACAUGCAAGUCGAGCGAACAGACGAGGAGCUUGCUCCUCUGACGUUAGCGGCGGACGGGUGAGUAACACGUGGAUAACCUACCUAUAAGACUGGGAUAACUUCGGGAAACCGGAGCUAAUACCGGAUAAUAUAUUGAACCGCAUGGUUCAAUAGUGAAAGACGGUUUUGCUGUCACUUAUAGAUGGAUCCGCGCCGCAUUAGCUAGUUGGUAAGGUAACGGCUUACCAAGGCAACGAUGCGUAGCCGACCUGAGAGGGUGAUCGGCCACACUGGAACUGAGACACGGUCCAGACUCCUACGGGAGGCAGCAGUAGGGAAUCUUCCGCAAUGGGCGAAAGCCUGACGGAGCAACGCCGCGUGAGUGAUGAAGGUCUUCGGAUCGUAAAACUCUGUUAUUAGGGAAGAACAAAUGUGUAAGUAACUAUGGCCGUCUUGACGGUACCUAAUCAGAAAGCAACGGCUAACUACGUG
RNAcentral lists this ribosomal RNA (497 nucleotides) under uncultured bacterium. Its description in RNAcentral is "partial 16S ribosomal RNA". It matches the Rfam family "Bacterial small subunit ribosomal RNA", at positions 28 to 507 of the family's 1533-position model. The record is from RNAcentral.